GCUUCCAUGCAGUCGAGCGGCAGCACGGGGUACUUGCUCCCUGGUGGCGAGCGGCGGACGGGUGAGUAAUGCAUAGGAAUCUGCCCGGUAGUGGGGGAUAACGUGGGGAACCCACGCUAAUACCGCAUACGUCCUACGGGAGAAAGCGGAGGCUCUUCGGACUUCGCGCUAUCGGAUGAGCCUAUGUCGGAUUAGCUAGUUGGUAAGGUAACGGCUUACCAAGGCGACGAUCCGUAGCUGGUCUGAGAGGAUGAUCAGCCACACUGGGACUGAGACACGGCCCAGACUCCUACGGGAGGCAGCAGUGGGGAAUAUUGGACAAUGGGCGAAAGCCUGAUCCAGCCAUGCCGCGUGUGUGAAGAAGGCUUUCGGGUUGUAAAGCACUUUCAGCGAGGAAGAAAGCCUUUGGGUUAAUACCCCAGAGGAAGGACAUCACUCGCAGAAGAAGCACCGGCUAACUCCGUGCCAGCAGCCGCGGUAAUACGGAGGGUGCGAGCGUUAAUCGGAAUUACUGGGCGUAAAGCGCGCGUAGGUGGCUUGGCACGCCGGUUGUGAAAGCCCCGGGCUCAACCUGGGAACGGCAUCCGGAACGGCCAGGCUAGAGUGCAGGAGAGGAAGGUAGAAUUCCCGGUGUAGCGGUGAAAUGCGUAGAGAUCGGGAGGAAUACCAGUGGCGAAGGCGGCCUUCUGGCCUGACACUGGACACUGAGGUGCGAAAGCGUGGGUAGCAAACAGGAUUAGAUACCCUGGUAGUCCAC
This 757-nucleotide ribosomal RNA is filed under the name Halomonas sp. Pr24. Its description in RNAcentral is "bacterial SSU rRNA". It matches the Rfam family "Bacterial small subunit ribosomal RNA", at positions 46 to 798 of the family's 1533-position model. Lineage: Bacteria; Pseudomonadati; Pseudomonadota; Gammaproteobacteria; Oceanospirillales; Halomonadaceae. The record is from RNAcentral.